UUCUUCGAGAGUUUGAUCCUGGCUCAGGACGAACGCUGGCGGCGUGCCUAAUACAUGCAAGUCGAGCGAAUCGAUGGGAGCUUGCUCCUGAGAUUAGCGGCGGACGGGUGAGUAACACGUGGGCAACCUGCCUAUAAGACUGGGAUAACUUCGGGAAACCGGAGCUAAUACCGGAUACGUUCUUUUCUCGCAUGAGAGAAGAUGGAAAGACGGUUUACGCUGUCACUUAUAGAUGGGCCGCGGCGCAUUAGCUAGUUGGUGAGGUAAUGGCUCACCAAGGCGACGAUGCGUAGCCGACCUGAGAGGGUGAUCGGCCACACUGGGACUGAGACACGGCCCAGACUCCUACGGGAGGCAGCAGUAGGAAUCUUCCGCAAUGGACGAAAGUCUGACGGAGCAACGCCGCGUGAACGAAGAAGGCCUUCGGGUCGUAAAGUUCUGUUGUUAGGGAAGAACAAGUACCAGAGUAACUGCUGGUACCUUGACGGUACCUAACCAGAAAGCCACGGCUAACUACGUGCCAGCAGCCGCGGUAAUACGUAGGUGGCAAGCGUUGUCCGGAAUUAUUGGGCGUAAAGCGCGCGCAGGUGGUUCCUUAAGUCUGAUGUGAAAGCCCACGGCUCAACCGUGGAGGGUCAUUGGAAACUGGGGAACUUGAGUGCAGAAGAGGAAAGUGGAAUUCCAAGUGUAGCGGUGAAAUGCGUAGAGAUUUGGAGGAACACCAGUGGCGAAGGCGACUUUCUGGUCUGUAACUGACACUGAGGCGCGAAAGCGUGGGGAGCAAACAGGAUUAGAUACCCUGGUAGUCCACGCCGUAAACGAUGAGUGCUAAGUGUUAGAGGGUUUCCGCCCUUUAGUGCUGCAGCUAACGCAUUAAGCACUCCGCCUGGGGAGUACGGCCGCAAGGCUGAAACUCAAAGGAAUUGACGGGGCCCGCACAAGCGGUGGAGCAUGUGGUUUAAUUCGAAGCAACGCGAAGAACCUUACCAGGUCUUGACAUCCUCUGACAACCCUAGAGAUAGGGCUUUCCCUUCGGGGGACAGAGUGACAGGUGGUGCAUGGUUGUCGUCAGCUCGUGUCGUGAGAUGUUGGGUUAAGUCCCGCAACGAGCGCAACCCUUGAUCUUAGUUGCCAGCAUUCAGUUGGGCACUCUAAGGUGACUGCCGGUGACAAACCGGAGGAAGGUGGGGAUGACGUCAAAUCAUCAUGCCCCUUAUGACCUGGGCUACACGUGCUACAAUGGAUGGUACAAAGGGCUGCAAACCUGCGAAGGUAAGCGAAUCCCAUAAAGCCAUUCUCAGUUCGGAUUGCAGGCUGCAACUCGCCUGCAUGAAGCCGGAAUCGCUAGUAAUCGCGGAUCAGCAUGCCGCGGUGAAUACGUUCCUGGCCUUGUACACACCGCCCGUCACACCACGAGUUUGUAACACCCGAAGUCGGUGAGGUAACCUUCAUGGAGCCAGCCGCCUAAGGUGGGACAGAUGAUUGGGGUGAAGUCGUAACAAGGUAGCCGUAUCGGAAGGUGCGGCUGGAUCACCUCCUUU
This 1541-nucleotide ribosomal RNA is filed under the name Peribacillus frigoritolerans. RNAcentral's name for it is "bacterial SSU rRNA". It matches the Rfam family "Bacterial small subunit ribosomal RNA". The record is from RNAcentral. Lineage: Bacteria; Bacillati; Bacillota; Bacilli; Caryophanales; Bacillaceae.